AUUAAACUAAGGUUGAGUAGUUUGGGAAGAGUACGCAAAACUAUGUAUGGCGUAAAAAGGGCACCACAUACUAACAUGAAAACAUCAUCCCAAUCGUUAAGUACGGUGGAGGGAGCCUCAUAAUGUAGGGCUGCUUUGGAGCAUGGGGCAGGUUUAGCAAGAAGUUCAAGAUAUCAGGGUGGCUGUGCACCAGUUGAAGCUCAGUAGAAAUUGCGUAAUGCCGCAGGACAGGG
Non-coding RNA from Pelobates cultripes (western spadefoot toad), 233 nucleotides. The record is from the annotation of a GenBank genome assembly. Lineage: Eukaryota; Metazoa; Chordata; Amphibia; Anura; Pelobatidae.